AGUCGAGGGGCAGCAUGACUGUAGCAAUACAGUUGAUGGCGACCGGCAAACGGGUGCGGAACACGUACAGAACCUUCCUUCGAGCGGGGAAUAGCCCAGAGAAAUUUGGAUUAAUACCCCAUAGUAUUACGGAGUGGCAUCACUUUGUAAUUAAAGAUUUAUCACUUGAAGAUGGCUGUGCGGCUGAUUAGGUAGUUGGUAAGGUAACGGCUUACCAAGCCUGCGAUCAGUAACUGGUGUGAGAGCACGACCAGUCACACGGGCACUGAGACACGGGCCCGACUCCUACGGGAGGCAGCAGUAAGGAAUAUUGGUCAAUGGACGAAAGUCUGAACCAGCUAUGCCGCGUGGAGGAUGAAGGCCCUCUGGGUUGUAAACUUCUUUUAUAUGGGACGAAAAAGGGUCUUUCUAGAUCAACUGACGGUACCAUGUGAAUAAGCACCGGCUAACUCCGUGCCAGCAGCCGCGGUAAUACGGAGGGUGCAAGCGUUAUCCGGAUUCACUGGGUUUAAAGGGUGCGUAGGUGGGUUGGUAAGUCAGUGGUGAAAUCUCCGAGCUUAACUUGGAAACUGCCAUUGAUACUAUCAGUCUUGAAUAUUGUGGAGGUUAGCGGAAUAUGUCAUGUAGCGGUGAAAUGCUUAGAUAUGACAUAGAACACCAAUUGCGAAGGCAG
RNAcentral lists this ribosomal RNA (673 nucleotides) under uncultured bacterium. RNAcentral's name for it is "bacterial SSU rRNA". It matches the Rfam family "Bacterial small subunit ribosomal RNA", at positions 60 to 724 of the family's 1533-position model. The record is from RNAcentral.